AACUCAUGGUGGGGGCACCUUCUCAAUAAGUCCUUAUACCUCUCCCAUGCAUCAUAUAAGGUUUCUAUGUCAAUUUGAACGAAUGAAGAGAUAUCAUUCCUCAACUU
RNAcentral lists this small nucleolar RNA (107 nucleotides) under Gossypium arboreum. RNAcentral describes it as "Plant small nucleolar RNA R71". It matches the Rfam family "Plant small nucleolar RNA R71". From Rfam's summary of the family: R71 is a member of the C/D box family of snoRNAs containing the C (UGAUGA) and D (CUGA) box motifs. Multiple nearly identical copies of this snoRNA have been identified in Arabidopsis, and it is thought to function as a 2'-O-ribose methylation guide for 18S ribosomal RNA. The record is from Rfam by way of RNAcentral. Lineage: Eukaryota; Viridiplantae; Streptophyta; Magnoliopsida; Malvales; Malvaceae.